Molecule: small nucleolar RNA, 107 nt
Organism: Magnolia sinica
Lineage: Eukaryota; Viridiplantae; Streptophyta; Magnoliopsida; Magnoliales; Magnoliaceae
Source: RefSeq, a predicted model, not a curated record
AAUCCGUGUUAUGGGCAUGAACUGACAAGAUCCUUGAAUCGCUCCUAAUAUUAGAAGAAUGUUUCAUCCUCCUUCUGGGCGAAGUUCAUUAUUGACUUUCUAAGGAU